RNAcentral lists this long non-coding RNA (1914 nucleotides) under Salvia miltiorrhiza (redroot sage). RNAcentral's name for it is "long non-coding RNA (SMIL_LNC013192)". The record is from RNAcentral. Lineage: Eukaryota; Viridiplantae; Streptophyta; Magnoliopsida; Lamiales; Lamiaceae.
AAUGCAGCACACUGACCACGUGGUAUAGUCAAGUGAAUCCUUGUGCCCUAUAAUAAUUUAUGCACAAUUUAGGACACACAUAAAAGCUGAAGCAUAUAAUAUAUGCAGUAAAUAUAACUUUAACCAAAUAUAUCAUUUUUUUCACAAACCUGUAUAAAAUCUAUAUAACUAUGUAACUAAAAACACUAUAACUAUAAUAUCAUAAAGAGGGUACAGUAUUGCAGUUUAGAAGAUUUUAAAUUUUACUGCCAAUUCAGACUUUUCUUAAUCUAAACACACAUUUGCCUGAAAAAUAUUGUAUAUGUUACACAUAAUGUAUUUAAUCUCUGAAAUGCAUCUUUUUAACUUGUGUAAAUAUUUUGAAGCUAAACAGUAAGUGUUAGGUAACAUUAGCACAAAAUGUUUGACAUAAAGUAUCACUUCUUGAUGAACUACAUCUAUGAGCAAUUUUAGAAAGUUUAUUAUACUUUUUAUCUGCAGCACAUCUUAAAAGAAAAUAAUAACUCCGCUGGACCAUAUGCAUUUUUAAUAUAACAGAUCAUACAUUAGCUACUUGAUAUAAUACCUCACUAUCAUGGACAAUACAUUCAAUAGAUGAUUGGUCCACUCCAUACUUAGUGCCAUAGCAACGAAUACAUCUCACUUUUAUCAUUGAAUUUGUGACAGACGGAUGCAAAUCCACAAUCUUCGUAUAAAUAGGUGCCAUUAUGUCUUCAAAUAUCUGCAGUCAUGCAAAAAAAUAUUCACUUAGUAUUUGCAACAUUUUGUAAUAUUUAGAAUUUACAUAGAGCAUCUGUUCUACUUAUAGCUAAAAUACAAAUAUUUGAAACAGUCAUCAGCUUUCCAACAAAGAGAUUAGGAGUAAAGGUACAGGAUAAAAACAACAUUUUAUGUACUUAUAGCUAUAAUAGAAAUAUUCAUAACACAUUUUUUUCAGCAAAGACAACAUGAGUAGAAGUAUACAAACAACAUUUUUUGUAUUUAUAGCUAUAAUACAAAUAUUUGUAACACAGGUUUCAGGUUUCCAAUAAAGACAACAGGAGUAAAGGUAUACAAACAACAUUUUUUGUAUUUAUAGCUAUAAUAGAAAUAUUUGUAACACAGGUUUCAGCUUUCCAACAAAUACAACAGGAGAAAAGGUAUACGAACAUGUGAACAGAUAAUUCUUUCAGAAUUAUCUUUUCAAUGUUAAAAUUACUUGUUUCAGAAAUAUUUGGAAUAGUACGUGAUAAAACAAACUGUAAUCUCUAUUUCAGUUUUUUUUUUUUUCAAGCUGAUCUCUAUUUCAUUUUUCAAUGAUAUACAAACUGUGAUCACAUAUUCUGUAAACAAUGUUAUACAGUGACAAUGUUAUGUGAUGUAUAUAAUAAAAUCAAACACAAAAGAUUAUAAACAUCUAUCAAAUAUACUUUAGAAUCUUGCAUUUUAAAAUCGAAAACCCUAUUCUUUCAGAAAAAAAUAAAUAAAAAAAAAGAUGCUUUGGAAGAGAAGAACAAACUACCAGCUAAAUUUUUUUGAAAACCUUUUUGAAAAUGAACAUAGGAAAUGAAGAGAUUAAAACGAAAACCAUUUUUUGAAAGAAACAAAUUUUUGAAAGAGAAGAACAAAAUAUCUGCAAAUUUUUUUACAAACCUUUUCGAAACUGAACUGAGGAAAUGAAGAGAUUCUGGUUCUAUUUAUAGGAAAAUUCUAGACACAAUUUUGAAAUUUGAAUUUUGGCUCCAUGUUUGGGGCCCAAGUUUAUUACAAAUCAGAUGCUUUUAAUGCUCAAAUCGUGAUUAUCAAGGCAAUUAUAGGUUAACAAAAAAACCUCUGAAUAUUAGCACAAUUACACAGCAGACUUCUUCACAAACAGAAAUACAUUGGUUAAAGAGGUGGACCAUUUUCCCGCCAAAAUGGAUCCUAAUGGCUCAG